CAGGAGAUUCUCUGUCACAGUGGCUGAACUCUGAUAUUUUCAUCGUGUUUGUGGUGUUGCUGUUGCUGCUGUUGCUGAUCAUCUUUGCAGUGUGCUGGCAUAUGAGAAGAAAAAUCACACAGAGACCCCCAGAGAAAAUGGCUGAAAUAGAGAUUAUUCCAGUUUACAGUGCAGAAGCGGGCAACCCAUCCAGAUUUACCCUGAAGAUUGUGACAGAGCAGACACAUGCGACAGAGCUUGUGGAGAUGUUAACCCAAAGAGGCUGCUGUGUUGAACCACUAAAUACCCACAGCAACCCCUCUGUCUCAGCUGAUGCAGCAGAUAAUGACAGCGAUCAAGACUUCACAGAUGCAUUACAAAGCAUUUAAAUAUUGUUUUCAAUUAGAUUCCCCACCAAAACAUUUAGUUUACUUACAUUUGAAAUACAGAACUAAACAAGUGAGCUUGUUAUUGAUUUUCUAUAUUGUUUAUUAAACUAAUGAAAUU
Molecule: non-coding RNA, 486 nt
Organism: Danio rerio (zebrafish)
Lineage: Eukaryota; Metazoa; Chordata; Actinopteri; Cypriniformes; Danionidae
Source: Ensembl